GACGAAUUUGUGAGAGGUAGACUUAUCGAUAGAUUCGAGACGUGUUAAGCGGAGUUCACUGCGUUAUCUUUUUAACAUUCUUUUGGCUACUCGUUAAUUGAUACAGAAUGAUGAAGGUUGAUUUUCUACACUGACUAUUUUCAUAUCUUUAGGGGUAGUUCCUAUCCGCAGUCCUACAGUGGGCAAAAAUAGGCAGUAGAAAAAAUCUGAUCAUCAUGCUGAUCUGCACAGUGCAGAUAUUUUCCUGCUUUUUGAAAGAAGGAACAUAGGAUGUCUUGGUGCCAAGUAUUCUUAAAUUAGCUGGAAAAACCUAAAGUUGGAGGAUGCUACAGUUGUUUCUCAUUUGAAGUUUUGUGAAACAAAUGUGGAGAUUUAUUCCACAAUCUUUAGCUUUCCAGGAAGACACCCAUCCACAAAGCCAUGGGCGAUGGAUGACAUGAAAUUAUAAUUGAUUAAGAAAAAUACUUACUGAGAUCGAAAGCAAAAAUUUUAUUAUUGUAAGCUGCACAUUGUGUUGAAAAAAAGCAAAAUCGGGUAUUUGAAAAGAAGUUAACAGGCAACAUGAUUUAAUACUUCAUAAAUGGCAGAUCCUUUCAUUCACUAAGUCUUGGUGGGAACACACAGUGGCCCAGAAUUGUUUACCUUUUGUGCACAUUCUGCGUUGGCUUUUAUUCAACCAAGUAAUUAAUAAUCACUUUUGUGUAUUUCCUAAAGAGGAGGAUUUCCAGCAGCUGCUUGCUUCAUUUGAAUCCAGUUGACAGUCACAUUUACCAGCUGUUCCUAGUUUAAUGGGUAGCUACUGUUUAGUAUGAGUAUUAACAUUUAGCUUCAUCUGAUUUAAGUGAAAGAAAUAUUAAAGGAAAAAUGACUCUUUGGAAACAACCAUAUACCAAUUCUUUACACCCAACAAUAAAACAAAAGAAGAGCUUAUCAUGGUGCUGUAAUAGUAUCGCUUACCUGAAGAAUGUUAGCUGCAUUAAUAAUUAUGCACAGAAAAAACGGUUGGUCGCAAUUCCAAACGUCAAAUGUACAGAUUUCCGGUUGGACGAGCGGGUCAUGAAGAAAAUGAAAGAAUAUUCGCUGUAUUACAUGUCACUCCAAUUCAUUCGACAACAGGACAACAGCAUCAUUCUUCAUUCGGACUGUUCCUGAUUGUCUUGAAGAUGUAUUGCUAUUGCUCGUCAUGCCCAAUGAGAAAUUUUACAGGACUGCGUUGCAAAUUGGUAUCAGCUCUACAAAAGUAUAGCAAAAAUGUCAUUUUUAUUUUUUGAAUAUAAAAUUACGUUACCUCCCUGCUUCAUUGGACAACAGAUUUAGAUCACAUGUCUACUGUGAAAACGAUCAUGUGUCUGUUACAGAAUAUGGCUCUCUCCGUUCGCGACAUUAGACCUCCUCAUUGUGUCAUUCUGAUGCAGAGCUCCUGAAAUGAAGUUGAACGUUUUGAACAAUCUCAGACCAAAGCUGAAGUUCUAGAGGUAUUAGGGAAGUGGUUGCUUUUUGGUUAGUUUCUUCGCCGUCAGAUGCAUCAACCGGAAUAGUGUUCCUCCUCUCGUCACUCCCUCGACGUCAUUGCUCACAAAAAUGUGGUGCAUUUUUCUUAUCUUGAUGUUAUAUCAACUCGCAAAGACAAAUCGGAAGACGGUACUCUUUUCCUGGACAAAAAAGAAUGGAAAUUUAAUACAUUAGCAAGUAAUCCGCAGCCAAAUAGAUCAAACGCAAGAGAUAUCCCGCCUCGUCCGGCAACUUACCAUCCAGCAACGCAUCCAUCAACAGAGUGUUGAAGAGGAAACAAAUUGUCUACAUGCCGACUCGACGAUUUCCAUGCAAGAUGGAAUGUUAAAAUCCAAGGAGAUCUGGUGAGCAGGAUGCAACGGACUAUGUCAUGUCAAACCAUUAGCUGAAUACAAUGAAAACUAUCAGUUCUCCAGAACGAGAGGCCUACAUAGGUAAUAAUCAUACUGAAUCAAAAGAGGUACCUAAUUGAACGAGAUUUUAUAACGAUAACGACGAAGUGCAUGUGGAAAUUCUAACAGAAAACGCUACCUGCAGGGUACCUUUACUUGCUGAUUCAUCCCGAAGAUAAAAUAUAUAAAAUUUUAUAAAUUAAAUUGCAUAUCUGGGCUCCCUUCUUUUCUGUGGCCCCGUUUCCCCUUGACUUGUGAUAAGCCCGUAGGGGGUCAUGCCCCUACUGUGAUCAGCAGCAAA
This is a long non-coding RNA of Daphnia magna, 2205 nucleotides long. RefSeq lists it as uncharacterized. NCBI's taxonomy places the organism in Eukaryota, Metazoa, Arthropoda, Branchiopoda, Diplostraca, Daphniidae. The record is from RefSeq and is a predicted model, not a curated record. The transcript is spliced from 10 exons.